CUUAAUCUAAUCUUUUGAAAGCUUUGCUGGAUAUUUAAUACCUCAUUUUCUUUUCUAAAUCUCUUUUGUGAAAAAAAAUAUUUUUGGCAUUUUUGGUGACAGUGUAUCAGAUGCCAACAUGUAUUUUCCAACUAUUUUAUAUAGUUGUAGUGUCGCUACAACAAAACAAAGAAUUACCAGUAAAGAAGAGCUGGCUAUGUGGCCAUGUGCUUGCUGCUUCAAUUACUUGAUUAACUACUCACUUCCAAAGGAAGAAUGGCUC
Molecule: long non-coding RNA, 262 nt
Filed under: Brassica napus (rape)
Lineage: Eukaryota; Viridiplantae; Streptophyta; Magnoliopsida; Brassicales; Brassicaceae
Description: long non-coding RNA (BNAP_LNC019175)
Source: RNAcentral